GCGGCUUAUUUGACUCAACACGGGAAAACUUACCAGGUCCAGACAUAGGAAGGAUGACAGAAUGAGAACUCUUUCUUGAUUCUAUGGGUGGUGGUGAUGGCCGUCUUAGUUGGUGGAGUGAUUUGUCUGGGUAAUUCCGUUAACGAACGAGACCUUAACCUACUAAAUAGUUUACGGGAAAUAUUGCUAAUUAAAGCACUUGUUAGUUGGAGGUUUUGGUUGGCUUCGCGGCUGGUCAGGAUUUUUGAUUAGCAAGUGUUGGUUUUAUUCCUGGUUAAACUUCUUAGAGGGACUAUUCGUGUCUAACGAAUGGAAGUUUGAGGCAAUAACAGGUCUGUGAUGCCCUUAGAUGUUCUGGCCCCACGCGCGCUACACUGACGAAUUCAACGAGCUUUAAACUCUCCUUGACCGGAAGGUUUGGGUAAUCUUUUGAAAAUUCGUCGUGCUGGGGAUAGAUUAUUGCAAUUAUUAAUCUUCAACGAGGG
Molecule: ribosomal RNA, 485 nt
Filed under: Mayorella sp.
Lineage: Eukaryota; Discosea; Longamoebia
Description: SSU rRNA
Rfam family: Eukaryotic small subunit ribosomal RNA
Source: RNAcentral